This 207-nucleotide long non-coding RNA is filed under the name Solanum tuberosum (potato). RNAcentral describes it as "long non-coding RNA (STUB_LNC007134)". Lineage: Eukaryota; Viridiplantae; Streptophyta; Magnoliopsida; Solanales; Solanaceae. The record is from RNAcentral.
UGUAACCUAUAUUCUCCAACCUUCCUCGAUACCCUAGAGGUCGACUCUUGCCACAAGGAAUGUCAUCGCCUUUCGGCUGUUCUACGAUAUUCCUUGGAGGAUGGAACCUUUCUGUUGACCUAACUUUCCAGUGAGCGGACCUACUCGAAGGAAGGAAAAAGAAGGGGGUUGGGGGUGCUUCUAUAUAAUCUCUAAUCCGAGUCUUAC